AGAAACAACACAUGCCCAUAAACCUCUUGUCUAGCAAUUACCAUCAAAGAAUGCUAAUCUGAUCGAAGUCAAGUAUUAACUGCAGUAUAGACUCUCUCAUUAAAAAAAAAUAUCCGAUUUGUAUUACAACCCCACAAAGCAUUACUAGAAGUUGGGGCACACGCGAUGCGUGUUAAGGACAAUACAAUGGAAUUCCAAUAUGGCUUCUAAUUUGUAACCGUCCAAAAAGAAUCCCACAGGUACCAAACAUCACAGUACAUCUACCCUAAUUUGUAAUUGUCCAUACAAUAGUAGAAUAGUCAAACAUACAUAAAAUAAUUGAAAUCAUAAUCUAUACGAUUGAACUUUCAAAAAUUCAUGGCAUGGGGAAAUGUAAUGUAAAUCCCUGUUGGUAACAUGGGACACAUAAAUUGGAAAUAGAAGAAACCCAACUGUAGCACGUAAAUUUUCCCGGCACACAAAAUUCUCACAAUUAUAGAGUUUUAAUCUGUCUUAUUAAGAAAAAAGAAGCCCAGUAGAGCAAUAGAAAGUAGAAAACUAAAAUAGCAAUGUAAAAAUUAAAGUAAUCAAAAUUGGAGUUGGAGUUGGAGAGAGAGAGAGAGAGAGAGAGAGAGAGAGAGUAUUUGGAUUGGUGGGAUGUGGGUAGAGAAAGACGGGCAGGGAGAGAGGAGAGAGAAGAGUCUGUACCUUUGUGGGAAAGUAGGUGUAAGUUAUUUCCCUAUUUUAGCCCUACACUUAUUUUAAUUGCAGUGACUGAUAAAGUUCAUGAAUUUUAGGUUUUGAUUUCCUCAAUUUUGAGUACAUACCAAAAAUGCUCUCCCUCUAUAAGAGAUAGAAUAUAGAUAUUGAUUCAACACAGGGAAAUGCAAAAUUUCGC
This is a long non-coding RNA of Rhododendron vialii, 877 nucleotides long. RefSeq lists it as uncharacterized. The transcript is spliced from 2 exons. The record is from RefSeq and is a predicted model, not a curated record. Lineage: Eukaryota; Viridiplantae; Streptophyta; Magnoliopsida; Ericales; Ericaceae.